GUUAGAAAUGCAAACUCAGUGCAAACUUUCAAGUGUCUACUAAAAACUCAUCUCUACAGCACGGUUUAUAAUUAGGUGUAGCCUGGCCCGGGGGCGUGAAGGUGACCAGUAGGCUUGAUACUGUCCACCCUUGCUGUCUUGCCAGGUGGGCUCUCGUCGCCACUGGGAUGCCCUCCCUCCAAUGCCUUUCGGGGGAAGAGUCACUGGCUUGUUGUUGACUCUCUGUUGCGCACUUGUGCAAUUGGGCUGUACGCUGCUAGCAAUACUCGGCCCUCAUUCAGGGGGGUUGCGGUUGGUGGGUGUCCCUUUGGUUGAUGCCUGGCAAUGUGGUUGGAUUGAUUUCCUGC
This is a long non-coding RNA of Esox lucius (northern pike), 347 nucleotides long. The record is from Ensembl. NCBI's taxonomy places the organism in Eukaryota, Metazoa, Chordata, Actinopteri, Esociformes, Esocidae.